RNAcentral lists this transfer RNA (76 nucleotides) under Deltaproteobacteria bacterium. RNAcentral's name for it is "tRNA-Trp". It matches the Rfam family "tRNA". From Rfam's summary of the family: Transfer RNA (tRNA) molecules are approximately 80 nucleotides in length. The record is from RNAcentral. Lineage: Bacteria; Pseudomonadati; Myxococcota; Myxococcia.
AGGCGUAUAGCUCAGUUGGUAGAGCAGCGGAUUCCAAAUCCGCCGGUCGGGGGUUCAAGUCCCUCUGCGCCUGCCA